ACGGGUGAGUAAUAUAUCGGAACGUGCCCAGUUGUGGGGGAUAGCCCGGCGAAAGCCGGAUUAAUACCGCAUACGACCUGAGGGUGAAAGCGGGGGAUCGCAAGACCUCGCGUAAUUGGAGCGGCCGAUAUCAGAUUAGCUAGUUGGUGGGGUAAAGGCCUACCAAGGCGACGAUCUGUAGCUGGUCUGAGAGGACGACCAGCCACACUGGGACUGAGACACGGCCCAGACUCCUACGGGAGGCAGCAGUGGGGAAUUUUGGACAAUGGGCGCAAGCCUGAUCCAGCCAUGCCGCGUGCGGGAAGAAGGCCUUCGGGUUGUAAACCGCUUUUGUCAGGGAAGAAACGGUCUGAUCUAAUAAAUUGGACUAAUGACGGUACCUGAAGAAUAAGCACCGGCUAACUACGUGCCAGCAGCCGCGGUAAUACGUAGGGUGCAAGCGUUAAUCGGAAUUACUGGGCGUAAAGCGUGCGCAGGCGGCUAUGCAAGACAGAUGUGAAAUCCCCGGGCUCAACCUGGGAACUGCAUUUGUGACUGCAUGGCUAGAGUACGGUAGAGGGGGAUGGAAUUCCGCGUGUAGCA
Molecule: ribosomal RNA, 582 nt
Filed under: proteobacterium RDB-030
Lineage: Bacteria; Pseudomonadati; Pseudomonadota
Description: bacterial SSU rRNA
Rfam family: Bacterial small subunit ribosomal RNA
Source: RNAcentral